Dipodomys ordii (Ord's kangaroo rat) is the source of this 513-nucleotide long non-coding RNA. RefSeq lists it as uncharacterized. Lineage: Eukaryota; Metazoa; Chordata; Mammalia; Rodentia; Heteromyidae. The transcript has 3 exons. The record is from RefSeq and is a predicted model, not a curated record.
GUCAGUUUCCUCUUGGGGAGGUGGUUCCAAGGCCUUCUGACCUUUCUUUUCAGGUGGCUCUGCAGGACCUUCAGACAAACUCCAAGAUCGCCGCGCUCCUGCCUUACUUUGUUUAUGUGGUCAGUGGGGUGAAGUCUGUAAGCCAUGACCUAGAGCAGCUGCACAGGCUGCUGCAGGUGGCACGUAGCCUGGUUCGGAACCCACACCUCUGCCUGGGGCCCUACGUCCGCUCCCUAGUGGGCAGUGUCCUCUACUGUGUCCUCGAGCCAUUAGCUGCCUCCAUCAAUCCCCUGAAUGACCACUGGACUCUGAGGGAUGGAGCUGCCCUCCUACUCAGCCAUAUCUUCUGGACUCAUGGGGACUUGGUGAGUGGCCUCUAUCAGCAGAUCCUGCUUUCCCUGCAGAAGGUCCUGGCAGACCCUGUGCGGCCUCUCUGCUCUCACUAUGGUGCUGUGGUCGGGUUGCAUGCUCUUGGCUGGAAGGUAAGCACCUUAACUUUAUUUCUGUGUUGGU